CGUGUAGGCGGCUCAUCAAGUCUGGUGUGAAAUCGCAAGGCUCAACCUUGCAUAUGCGCUGGAAACUGGUGGGCUUGAGUUCUUGAGGGGAAGCUGGAAUUCCAGGUGUAGGGGUGAAAUCUGUAGAUAUCUGGAAGAACACCGGUGGCGAAGGCGAGCUUCUAUCAGAGGACUGACGCUGAGGCGCGAAAGCGUGGGGAGCAAACAGGAUUAGAUACCCUGGUAGUCCACGCUGUAAACGAUGUGCACUAGGCGUGGGGCACGUACGUGCUCUGUGCCGUAGUUAACGUGAUAAGUGCACCGCCUGGGGAGUAUGCUCGCAAGGGUGAA
Molecule: ribosomal RNA, 330 nt
Filed under: uncultured bacterium
Lineage: Bacteria
Description: bacterial SSU rRNA
Rfam family: Bacterial small subunit ribosomal RNA
Source: RNAcentral